This 298-nucleotide ribosomal RNA is filed under the name uncultured microorganism. Its description in RNAcentral is "partial 16S ribosomal RNA". It matches the Rfam family "Bacterial small subunit ribosomal RNA", at positions 346 to 634 of the family's 1533-position model. The record is from RNAcentral.
GUGCACCAGUCGCGAAUCUUCCACAAUGGACGAAAGUCUGAUGGAGCGACGCCGCGUGCGGGAUGAAGGCCUUAUGGGUUGUAAACCGCUGUCAGGGGGGAAGAACAUCGGAAUGAACAAUACUCAUUCCGACUGACGUUACCCCCAGAGGAAGCUCCGGCCAACUCCGUGCCAGCAGCCGCGGUAAUAGGGGGGGAGCAAGCGUUGUCCGGAAUUAUUGGGCGUAAAGGGCGUGCAGGCGGCGAGGUAAGUCGAAUGUGAAAUCUCACGGCUCAACCGUGAAACUGCGUUCGAAACU